RNAcentral lists this ribosomal RNA (253 nucleotides) under uncultured bacterium. RNAcentral describes it as "partial 16S ribosomal RNA". It matches the Rfam family "Bacterial small subunit ribosomal RNA", at positions 524 to 776 of the family's 1533-position model. The record is from RNAcentral.
UACGGGGGGGGCAAGCGUUGUUCGGAAUUACUGGGCGUAAAGGGCUCGUAGGUGGCCAACUAAGUCAGACGUGAAAUCCCUCGGCUUAACCGGGGAACUGCGUCUGAUACUGGAUGGCUUGAGUUCGGGAGAGGGAUGCGGAAUUCCGGGUGUAGCGGUGGAAUGCGUAGAGAUCCGGAGGAAGACCGGUGGCGGAGGCGGUCUGCUGGGCAGUUUCUGACACUGAUGCGCGACAGCGUGGGGAGCAAACAGG